Molecule: ribosomal RNA, 253 nt
Filed under: uncultured bacterium
Lineage: Bacteria
Description: partial 16S ribosomal RNA
Rfam family: Bacterial small subunit ribosomal RNA
Source: RNAcentral
GACAGAGGGUGCAAACGUUGUUCGGAAUUACUGGGCGUAAAGCGCAUGUAGGCGGCCACGCAGGUCGGAUGUGAAAUCCCUCGGCUCAACCAAGGAAGUGCAUUCGAAACCGCAUGGCUGGAGUCCCGGAGAGGGUGGCGGAAUUCUCGGUGUAGAGGUGAAAUUCGUAGAUAUCGAGAGGAACACCGGCGGCGAAAGCGGCCACCUGGACGAGGACUGACGCUGGGAUGCGAAAGCGUGGGGAGCAAACAGG